AUGCAGCCACGUCCGGGAAGACCCCGCGGCCGCCACUCUCUUCCCCCGGCCGCGGCGGGCGUGCUCCGGUGCCUCGUCCUCGCCGGGGCCGUCGCCGUCGCCGCCGCGGGCGCGGACGCGGUCGCGGCGCCGGCGAUCCUGGACACGGUGUGCGGGUCCAGGCAGGCGGCCGACCCGGAGUCCUUCGACGUGAGCUUCGUCAACACCCUGGAGCUCAUCUACCAGAACGUGACGCGCUCCGGCUUCGGCGCCGCCUCCUCCGGCUCCGGCGGCAACUUCUCCGUCUUCGGGCUCGGCCAGUGCCUCGCCUACCUCUCCCCGACCGACUGCCAGCUCUGCUACGCGCAGAGCCGCGUGAAGCUGCCCCACUGCCUCCCGGCCGACGGCGGCCGCAUCUACGUCGACGGCUGCUUCCUCCGCUACGGCGCCGGCGACUUCACCGCCGCCGCCACCGACGCCAGCGACACGUUCCUGUGCUCCAACGACACCGCGCCGGCGACCCCGGCGUUCGCGGCCGCGGCCGCCGCGCUGGUGCGCAACGUCACGGCGACCGCGCCGGGUGCGAGGGGGUACUACUACGCCGGGUCGGCGUCGGCGUCCGCGAUGCCGACCGGCGCGCGGGUGUACGCGGCGGCGCAGUGCUGGAGGUCGCUGAACGCCACCGCGUGCGCGGCAUGCACGGCCAGCGCGCGCGACCGGGUGGUGCGGCAGUGCCUUCCCGGCGCCGCCGAGGGGUACGGGCUCAACGCCGGCUGCGUCGUCAGGUACUCCACGCAGCCCUUCUACCUGCCGGCGAAAGCCGGCGGCGGCGGCGGAUCAUCCAACCGGCACAUAAUCAUCAUCGUCUUCGCCUCCAUCCUCUCCGCCAUGGCGGUCGUCGGCAUAGUAUUCAUCUGGACACGAAUGAGGCCCAGGAGAGACGACCUCCACGACGGUAUGCAAAACUACAUGGACGGCUCAGGCGAGAUCAUCCGCACCAUCAUGUCGUCGCAGCUCGGCUUCCGGUACGAGGAGCUGCGCAAGGCGACCGAUGACUUCAAUCAGAUCAACAAGCUCGGCCAGGGCGGCUACGGUUCAGUUUACAAGGGCGUGCUUCCGGAUGGCCGGGAGAUCGCCGUGAAGCGGCUCUACCUCAACACGCGGCAGUGGACCGACCAGUUCUUCAACGAGGUGAAGCUCGUCAGCCAGGUGCAGCACAAGAACCUCGUCAAGCUCCUCGGGUGCAGCGUCGAGGGCCCCGAGAGCCUCCUCGUCUACGAGUACCUCUGCAACACCAGCCUCGAUCACUACCUCUUUGAUGCUUUCAAGAAGAAUGCGUUGGACUGGGAGCGGCGGUCGGAGAUCGUCCUCGGGGCGGCGGAGGGUUUGUCAUACCUCCAUAGUGGCUCCGAGGUCAGGAUCAUACAUAGGGACAUCAAGGCCAGCAAUGUGAUGUUGGAUGAGAGGUUCAGACCUAAGAUUGGCGAUUUCGGCUUGGCAAGGAACUUCAUGGAAGAUCAGACCCACCUCAGCACCGGCCUCGCCGGAACAUUUGGAUAUAUGGCUCCGGAGUACAUCGUUCACGGGCAGCUGACGGAGAAGGCCGACAUCUAUAGCUACGGCGUGCUGGUCCUUGAGAUCGUCACCGGCCGCAAGAACCACAACUCCGUGGCGUCAUCGGCCGAGGGGUUGUCCCUCAUGUCACAGUUAUGGAAGCACUACAACGCCGGCACCCUCAUGGAGCUCCUGGACCCGAACCUCCGCGACCAAUGCUCGGAGGCGGAAGCUCUCAAGGUGUUCCAAGUCGGGCUGCUGUGCGCGCAGGCGUCGCCGAACCUCAGACCCCCGAUGUGGAAGGUGGUGGAGAUGCUGGGAAGUGGUGAUAGGGUGCUGCCCCGGCCUACCGAGCCUCCGUUCAUCAACAUAAAGGGGUCGAACGCGAAGAGCGAAAGCUCGGGGUCAUCAAUGUCUCUGAUGUCGAACUCCGACAAGUCGCCGUUCUCGACGAAUCAGCUGUCGGUUAGUGGGGUGCAGGCAAGGUGA
This 2022-nucleotide ribosomal RNA is filed under the name Triticum aestivum (bread wheat). Its description in RNAcentral is "partial small subunit ribosomal RNA". The record is from RNAcentral. Lineage: Eukaryota; Viridiplantae; Streptophyta; Magnoliopsida; Poales; Poaceae.